AGCCGACCUUGAAAUACCACCCUUUAAUGUUUGAUGUUCUAACGUGGACCCGUAAUCCGGGUUGCGGACAGUGUCUGGUGGGUAGUUUGACUGGGGCGGUCUCCUCCUAAAGAGUAACGGAGGAGCACGAAGGUUGGCUAAUCCUGGUCGGACAUCAGGAGGUUAGUGCAAUGGCAUAAGCCAGCUUGACUGCGAGCGUGACGGCGCGAGCAGGUGCGAAAGCAGGUCAUAGUGAUCCGGUGGUUCUGAAUGGAAGGGCCAUCGCUCAACGGAUAAAAGGUACUCCGGGGAUAACAGGCUGAUACCGCCCAAGAGUUCAUAUCGACGGCGGUGUUUGGCACCUCGAUGUCGGCUCAUCACAUCCUGGGGCUGAAGUAGGUCCCAAGGGUAUGGCUGUUCGCCAUUUAAAGUGGUACGCGAGCUGGGUUUAGAACGUCGUGAGACAGUUCGGUCCCUAUCUGCCGUGGGCGCUGGAGAACUGAGGGGGGCUGCUCCUAGUACGAGAGGACCGGAGUGGACGCAUCACUGGUGUUCGGGUUGUCAUGCCAAUGGCACUGCCCGGUAGCUAAAUGCGGAAGAGAUAAGUGCUGAAAGCAUCUAAGCACGAAACUUGCCCCGAGAUGAGUUCUCCCUGAGACUUAGAGUCUCCUGAAGGAACGUUGAAGACGACGACGUUGAUAGGCCGGGUGUGUAAGCGCAGCGAUGCGUUGAGCUAACCGGUACUAAUGAACCGUGAGGCUUAACCUU
This 747-nucleotide ribosomal RNA is filed under the name Salmonella enterica subsp. enterica serovar Infantis. Its description in RNAcentral is "partial 23S ribosomal RNA". It matches the Rfam family "Bacterial large subunit ribosomal RNA", at positions 2184 to 2925 of the family's 2925-position model. RNAcentral also lists the same sequence under 4 other names. Lineage: Bacteria; Pseudomonadati; Pseudomonadota; Gammaproteobacteria; Enterobacterales; Enterobacteriaceae. The record is from RNAcentral.